CCCACCAAAUAACUAACAAUAAAAUCCUACUGUUAUCAAUUAUCACAUAAUUAAAAUUUCUUUCAAAAUCCAAGGAACACUCGAAGAGAAAGAAGAGAAGGAUGAGAGCUCACCGAAACCCUAAAGCUCUCCAUCGCCAUCUCUAUCGCCACCAUCGCCGCCAUCGCCGCCGCUAAAGUUAAUCUCCUUUCUGCUUCUGCUAUAAAGCUACUGAAAUCGAGCCAAGGCGCUUCCUUCAUCAACGCGUUUUCAGAUCUAAUUGCAACGCCCAAGCCUCUGAGAUCGAGAGAAAUCGCUUCUUCGGUUAACUCUCCUUGGCCAAUGACGCUCGUGUUCUCCGUCGAUAUUCUAUCCUUUCUGUACGCUCUUCUUUUCACUCAUUUUCAAUUUUUGGUUCUCCUUCUCUUUUUCCUGUUUAUUCGUUUUCUUUGUUUUUAAUUCUCAGAUUCUGAAUGAUUUGUUAUGUGAUAUAAUAUUUGAUGAGUUUUAUUAUCUCUUGGUUGAUAACAUUGUUUCAAAUUCUCAAGCACUCCAAGUGUUCGAUGAAUUGUUUAUUCUCAAGCACUCCAAGUGUCAUGAAAAAUAGGAGAGGAAUGAGAGGCUAUUUUAUAAGUUUCUGAUUGAUAACAUGGAGGAACUGCUUCUUGUUGUUUACACUCCAACUGUUAGAGAAGCCUGCCAGAAAUAUGGAAGCAUUUUUCGUUCUAUACAUUAGAUUGAAAGUGAAGUAUGGUUUUUUAUUUAUAUUUAUUGUUCUGUUUUCAUCAUUUAGCCUUUGAGGUGAAAAAAAAAAGAUAAGAAGAGAUACUAAGUGUUUGAGACUCUACAGAGGCUAGAUCCUUAAAGUAAUGAAAAACUGGCUAGAGAAAAGCACUCAAGUUAUUGUCACUAAUGACAAGCAAAUAUUAGGACUCGGAGAUCUUGGUUGCCAGGCUGUUGUUUUCACAGAUAUUAGUCUUGAGAAAGUUAUUGAGUUCAAUGAUUUUUGCCACACUCAUCAGCUUCCUAUUGCUUUUAUCAAAACUGAAGUUAGAAGUUUUUUUGCAGAGGAAAAGCCAGUUCUGGACUCAGAACUUUGGCAUGCAUGUGCUGGUCUCCUUGUUUCUUUACCUGCAGUUGGGAGCCAUGUGGUGUACUUUUCACAAGGUCAUAGUGAACAAGCGAAGUUUCUAAUAUGUUUCAACUCAAAAUAUUUUCAAGUUGGUUGAUAUUUUGAAGUGUAUUGAGGCACAGUUAUCUAAUCACAGAUCCUGAUGCGUAAGGAACUUGGCAUCAAAAGGAUUUUCUGGAACACUUUCUCCCUCAAUUGCCAAAUUGAAAUACUUGGUUAGCUUAAGAUGCCUUGCUUCCAAUUCCUAAGGUUUCUAUGAUCUUCUGAGAAAGAGAAAGCAUUUCAAGACUCUUCAGACAAAAAUAUAGCAGAUGGUUUGUUUAGAAUUAGUAAAGCUGAUUCUAUCAAGAAACAAGGUAUGAGAAGGACAUGCUAUAUUGGCUGCAGUCACAAUGUGACUGUAGAAGAAGAUGAGCAACUAAGACAACUGAAGUCAGUCACUGGAAGGAGAGAGAGAUUAAUGGGACCGAGAGGAGAUUGUUUGGAGGCUGCUCGUUAACUCCUAGCUUCCCUGUUACUUAGAGCACUUGGUUAAUGCAGGAUGAAUUUUGUUAAACUUGUUGACCAAUUAUAUGAUAUUUUUAGUAUGGUUGAAAAAUAUACUCCCUAAAGGUUUUCUAGGAUUGCAUUCAUAUUUUUAUUUUGAGAUUUUUAUGUAAUUAGAUGAUAUUGAAAUAUUGAAGUUGUUUUAUUUUACUUUUUAAAGAAAAACAAUAAUAGUUAUGUAAAGGAAUAUCAUAUGGAAUUAUGUUUGGAACUA
Arachis stenosperma is the source of this 1871-nucleotide long non-coding RNA. RefSeq lists it as uncharacterized. The transcript has 7 exons. Lineage: Eukaryota; Viridiplantae; Streptophyta; Magnoliopsida; Fabales; Fabaceae. The record is from RefSeq and is a predicted model, not a curated record.